GUACAUUGGGAUCCUAGAGACUGCAUAUUAUUGGGCACAAUAACUAAUGGUGCCAGACUCUACUGAGGUGCAAGUGUACAUAUCAGGGGCACCUGGGUUGUUCUGUGGUUAAGCAUCUUCCUUUGGCUCAGGUUAUGAUCCUGGGGUCCUGGGAUCAAGUCCUGCAUCAGGCUCCUCACAGGAAGCCUGCUUUUCCCUCUGCCUGUGUCUCUACCUCUGACUCUCUGUGUCUCUCAAGAAUAACAAAUAAAAUCUUAAAACAAAACACAUGUACAUAUCCAUCAGCAACUGUUCAAUGGGCAGGGUUUUUUUUAAAGAUUUUAUUUAUUUAUUCAUGAGAGAUACACAGAGAGAGAGAGAGAGAGAGGCACAGGCAGAGGGAGAAGCAGGCUCCAUGCAGGGAGCCCGACGUGGGACUCGAUCCAGUGUCUCCAGGGACACGCCCUGGGCCUAAGGCAGUGCUAAACCGCUGAGCCACCUGGGCUACCCGAAUGGACAGUUUUUAAGCAUUGCCUUACUAACACUAACUCCUAGUCCUCAACCUGACACUUACAAACCUUCAUCUGAUGAAUCCAUCCAACCAACCAUUCUGAAGACCAUAUAAAUAUAAACAUAGAUGAUACUAGAAUCUAAUUUGUUCAACCACCCUCAGAUCCAUUCAAGCCACAGAUAUAGAUCUACUUUAAAGCUUCUUUAAAGCUUCUAAUUCUAAAUUGUUUUAAAUUGUGGGCUAAUUUAUCAUUAUCAUUAAUUUAUUUUUGUAACUAAGUAAUUUUAGUACCAAAUUUAAAUUUGGUACUAAAUUUAAAUUAAAUUUAAAGAAAAUUUUAUUUUCUUUAAAGCUUCUAAUUCUAAAUUGUUUUAAAUUGUGGGCUAAUUUAAAAUUAAUUGUUUUAAAAAGUGGGAUAAUUUAUCAUUAUCAUUAAUUUAUUUUUGUAAUUAAGUAAUUUUAGUACCAAUUUCAGGUACAAACCAAGAGGAAAGGAGAAGACUUACUAACAUAUGGUCUUGUCUAGAGCAGAUAUUUAUUAUUAUUUUUUGUAUUCUGUGAUCACCCGGCCCAUGGAAUAAAAUGACUUAUUGAUGGGAUCUCUUUCAUUAACUAACUUUCAAGGAAUACCAGUUCUGCUCCCACUGAUGUGAUUUUCAGUAUCUGGCACUUGUGUCAUAUGAAACAAAUAAUCACUGGUUUCUUACUUUGAGUUUGGCCUGGCAUUCACCCAGGAAAGAAGGAUUGUACAUCAUUCUUCCUGACCAUGAGAUGUUGCUUAUCUGAUAGGAUAAAAUAGAGAAGAUCUCCAGCUUUGUGAUUUUUUUAUGACCGAAGUCAGGAUGUGAACUUAGGGAUCUCUCCUUUUAUGAUUUAAAAGUUAUAUUCUAUAUACAUUUUUCAUAGUAACAGUGCUGUUUUCUUCGUGGUGUUUUUUGUUUUUCUUGCUGUUUCUCUACUUUUCCCCUUGUUGUAUCACAGUGGAACUUCUUCACUCUCUUUCUUCCACAUAGUAUAUCUUUCUAGGUCACACCAUGGCUGCCUCAAGAAUUUUAAUGAGAGUUAUAAAUCUACAGUGUCCACAUACCUGGAAAUUCUCUUCCUGACCUUAUCCUUCAUCAUUUUCGCAUGAGAAUUUGUUAUGACUUUGAGGAAUGGUAUGUUUUAAGAAAACAAAUUCUAUAAAUAGGUGGUGCCCUUCGUUACACAGUGAGGAUGGCAUGAGCCUACUGGUCAUCUGUCAAUAAAGCCAUCUGUUGCUUGUUGGUUUUCUACAAUAGAGUUCUCAUUAUGAAGCUUGCACCUCCUUUCCUCAAAUUAAGCUAUGUUUUGUUUUUGUUUUUGUUUUGCUGUCUCAUUAUCUUUCUCUCAAGAACCUAAGAUUUAGUAGAAAGAGCAUUUAAAAUUAAAAAAAAAAUGCAAGUUUCGGUUUGGAGUUGAUCACCAAUUCACUAAAUGAUUCUCAGUUCCCACAUCUGUUAAAUGGAUAAAAAGAUAGCAAACUUCAAAGGAUUGCUCUAAGUUUCAAAUAAUGAAAUAUAGGUAAAAUGCUAAUAUUUUAUCUUAUAGACUGUUCUCAUAAAAACCUGGUGUCAUUGCUAUUGUAAUAUUGUGAACAUAUUUUAUUCCUGAUUGUUGAUUUAUGAAGUGUUAGAACCAAAACAUUUCUUAAUUUCAGCCCUUCAUAUUGCAGGCUAGGAAAGGAUGUUGCUCAAGGAGCAGAGGGCAAAAAUAGACUAGUCUCUUCAGACCAUCAUGAUACUCCAUUUUCAAUUCAUGCCAUAAUCUAUUUUAUUUUAUUUUCCCCAGGCUGGUAUUUUUUUUUUUAAGAUUUUAUUUAUUUAUUCAUGAUAGUCACAGAGAGAGAGAGAGAGAGAGAGAGAGAGAGGCAGAGACACAGGCAGAGGGAGAAGCAGGCUCCAUGCACCGGGAGCCCGACGUGGGAUCCGAUCCCGGGUCUCCAGGAUCGCGCCCUGGGCCAAAGGCAGGCGCCAAACCGCUGCGCCACCCAGGGAUCCCUUGGCUGGUAUUUUUAUACUUCCUCCUCUUACUUCAUAACAUUCACUUGUAGACCAUUUUAAAUUUGAACCUAAUAAUCAGGGACUCUGCCUAAUUAACUAAAUCUGCCUAAUGUUUCAUGCAAAACCCUUGGACUUUGAUAUUUUGCAUAUUAAAUAAUUUCAUAAUUUUGAGUUUAUUUCAGUAAUGAUAUAUGCAGAAUUAUUUCACCAAGUAGUGUUGUUUGACCAAAGCUAUACUCUACCCCACAGACAUAGGCAGAUUUCCCCAGUUCAAGGGUGCUGUGAUCUAUUUAAGCCUUGCUAGCCAAACUAAUUAAGAUAUUUCAUUUAGGGAAUUCAGAGUGUUAACUUUUUUUUUUUUUGAGAGUCUCUAACUGAUACUUUAUGUAUUAAUAAAGAAAUAUUUAUUGUGUUGAUUUGUUUCUCCUUAAAAUAUAAUGUGAUGUUGCAUGAUUGGUUUAGCCAGUUUUGAAUAUUAGAAAAUGAUGCAAAAUCACAUGAAUCUUGAAAAGGUCAUAUUUAUUUGAAAAAUCAAUUGAUUGGACUGAAAUCAAUUCAGUUUCCAAGAUCACAAAAUUUGAGAGACCUUACAGGUUUGCUAGGCUGUUGUUUGUAAGCACCCUUAUCAAAGUGUGUAGUCAUAUAAAUACUAACAAUUUGAAUAGCUGGUAAUUUAAACUGUCUUCUUUUACAGAAUGUACAUCAAGCUUCAUAGUUUUCAGUUUCUAAACUCAUCAUAUAUGACUAUUAAAGAAAAUACAGUGAACCCUCAAUUAUUCAGGGAUGGACCAGUCAAUUGACAUAUCCAUCAGUUUCUUAAUUCUUCUAUUUCCUUGCUGCUUGUUUUGUGAUCCUUAUCAGUAUCCACUAGCAAUUUGGUCAAAAUGAAGAAAAGAAACUUUAAAAAAAAAUCCAAUUUAAGUAUUGUUUUUUUAUUUGCAAGUUAGCUUUUAAAUUUGAAAUUGUAGAGAAAACAUUUGAAACACUGGCUUUUAUUGGAAGUUUUGAUAUAUCUGUAUAUAUAUAUAUAUAUAUUAUUGGAAGUUUUUAAAUAUCUAUAUAUUAAAGAUAUCAAAACUCUUCCCCUUUACUAAUUCUGUGGUGUUCAAAGAUAUAUUUUGGCCAGAUAAAGAAGAAUACAGAUGAUACAUUUGAUUUAUCAAUUUUGUUAGUUUGUGUUUUUCUGUUCAACUUUGUUUCAUUUUGUUUCUUUCAGUAAUUUGGUGAGUAAUUUUCUCAAAUUAGUGUUUGCACAAGAGAGAUGUUUGAUGUGUGCUGGGAGACUGUGUCUAUGCCUUCUGAUUGAUGUUAAAUAAAUUCAAUUGGUAAUUUUGAAUUGACCAGCUAUUUUCAUGUAAAAGCAAUAACAGACAUUUUGGUAAGAUAAAAAGGGAACUUAAGGUUCUAGUAAUUAAUUAAAGUGUAAACAAUUCAAUAUCAUCUCCAUCUAUAAAGCCAUCAUUUUCACAAAUCAUACUGUUUUAAACAAGGACAGAAUCUAUCUCUGGUUAAAAAGGAUAUUAAUUUUUAUCUAAUGAAAUAAAGAUAACCACUCAAAAUCAUAUCAUUUGAAUUCUUGGAAACUUUUAAAGCUUAAAUAGAUUUCUACCCUUCACACCCCAUGGGCAUUUUUAAUAAGCCACAAGAUAUGAUUCUCAGCUUGGGUGAGGAAAUAAAAUGGGAAUCUCUCUCUAGAGAACCCUUAUAUAUAUUACAUUCAAUUAGACCUGUGCUGGCUCUGUGAAGUCGUCCUAAAUCACGGUGGAUGAUAACAGUUUGCAAUUUUCAACCAGAGAAUCCACCUUAGUUUGUAAGUUCAGUAGUCAGUGCUUGACAGUAGUAACUUAUUUUGAUAGAGGAGACAUAUAGCAACUACCUUGUAAAGGCUGAAGACCAAAACAUUCAAUUGUCCAAAAAUAUUAUGGAGAGAAGGACAUAUUCUAAUAUAAUUAAUUUGAAAAUGUGAUGAUACUAUAUUUAUUAAAAAUGUAUUAUUUCCCAAAUACUUUUCAACCUUUGCAUAAAUUUGCUAUAUGUGAAUUUUAUUUAUUUCAGCAUAUCCAUUCUGUUUUUGUCUCCUCUGAGCUUUUUUAAAAAUCUGAAUUGCUAUUUCCUUAAUAUUAGUACAGAUUCUAAUGUGUGGUUGGUUAUAUUUUGUAUUUUAAUUUUGUUUUUGUUAUGUAAACUUCAUCAGCAAAAUACCACCUGUUACAUGUUAAAAAUGGACCGUAUCCUCAUUCAAUUUAGUUAAUGUUCAGAAUCCAAAGUCGAAGAGGUGUCCCUCUAUGUUGUUUUGUAGGCAUUUGUUGUUUGCAAGCAUAUGAGAAUUAACUAUUUUAAUAGUAGUAACACAUACUGUUACUGUGGAACAAGAUAUUCCUUGAUCCACAAAACGCAUUGAAAAUUUUAUAAAUUAUAAAGGUGCUGGAUAGGUGAAUCUCAUGCCAGUGUUGAAUAAGUCAAAUGUUUUGACAUUUUAUCAAUUCUUCUAACCAGUUAUCUGAUUUUGACAAAUAUAUUUACACUGUACCCUUUUAAAUCCAUUCAUUUUGUCAUUGCUCUUUGCCAGAGAUGCUAAAUGUUAAUUAAAUCUUUACUAUAUCAAUCACUCUUAUGUUGCAAUUGAAAAAAUACUGUGUAUUCAGUCUCAUCUUAAUAUUUCUCAACUUCAGAAAAUAUUUGUCCAUAGUCAUACUGUAGUUAGUAUGAAUUAUUUCUUUUUUUUUGUGAGUAUGAAUUAUUUCUAAUCAGAUUUUAACCCCUUCUC
This 5278-nucleotide long non-coding RNA is filed under the name Canis lupus familiaris (dog). Its description in RNAcentral is "lncRNA (ENSCAFG00000059219.1)". Lineage: Eukaryota; Metazoa; Chordata; Mammalia; Carnivora; Canidae. The record is from RNAcentral.